Molecule: ribosomal RNA, 301 nt
Filed under: uncultured bacterium
Lineage: Bacteria
Description: partial 16S ribosomal RNA
Rfam family: Bacterial small subunit ribosomal RNA
Source: RNAcentral
CAGCAGCCGCGGGAAUACGGAGGGGGCUAGCGUUGUUCGGAAUUACUGGGCGUAAAGCGUACGUAGGCGGCUUUGUAAGUUAGAGGUGAAAGCCUGGAGCUCAACUCCAGAAUUGCCUUUAAGACUGCAUCGCUUGAACGUCGGAGAGGUGAGUGGAAUUCCGAGUGUAGAGGUGAAAUUCGUAGAUAUUCGGAAGAACACCAGUGGCGAAGGCGGCUCACUGGACGACUGUUGACGCUGAGGUACGAAAGCGUGGGGAGCAAACAGGAUUAGAUACCCGCGUAGUCCCUGUCUCUUAUAC